AGAAGGUGUCAUGUCUAGUAUAAGCAAUUAUACCGUGAAACUGCGAAUGGCUCAUUAAAUCAGUUAUCGUUUUUUGAUAGUACCUUACUACAUGGAUAACCGUGGUAAUUCUAGAGCUAAUACAUGCUGAAAACCCCAACUUCUGGAGGGGUGUAUUUAUUAUAUAAAAAACCAACGCCCUUCUGGGCUCCUUGGUGAUUCUUAAUAACUUUACGGAUCUCAUGGCCUUGCGCCGGCCACGGAUCAUUCAAAUUUCUGCCCUAUCAACUUUCUAUGGUAAGGUAUUGGCUUACCAUGGUUUCAACGGGGAACGGGGAAUGUA
Molecule: ribosomal RNA, 322 nt
Filed under: uncultured fungus
Lineage: Eukaryota; Fungi
Description: bacterial SSU rRNA
Rfam family: Eukaryotic small subunit ribosomal RNA
Source: RNAcentral